Molecule: non-coding RNA, 85 nt
Organism: Potamilus streckersoni
Lineage: Eukaryota; Metazoa; Mollusca; Bivalvia; Unionida; Unionidae
Source: the annotation of a GenBank genome assembly
GCUUCAGUGGCAUAAGUGGUAAUAGCAUCUGCCUUGGAUGCAGGAGGUUGCAGGUUCUGACCACAGCCGAGUCAUGCCAUAAACU